AAUUUAAUGGUUACCUUGUUCAUACAACAGAUUUCUGUUGGGUCGGACUUAACGAAUAAACUAUAAAAUCAAACCAAAUACGAUGGUGAUUUAUGACAGAAAUGUUCUUGUUGUAAGGCAUUUGCCUCAAGAACUGACAAAAGAGGCCAAAAUCGACCUUCUCAAAUUUUUAGGAGCUUCAGAGGUCAAAUGUCUUAGUUCAGAAAAUAAGAAAUCGAGCUUGGUGUUCGCGAAGUUCGACAAAGAAGGACAUGCCGAAGCCGUUCUCAAAAUGCUUCAUCAAAAAGAUUUAUUAGGGCAAUUGAUAUCUGUCGAAUUUGCAAGAGGGAAAGAGGUGGUCGGCGAUGGCCAAACGAUAAAGGAAAGCGAUGGUAUUGAGAAAAACGAUGAGAAAACUAUGCAGAGAAAAUUGUUGGAAAGUUUCCAGACGAAGUUGAAUUCAUGGAUAAACACUGUCGAUUUGACGUUGCCACCUCCUGUUCACCUGAGAUAUUCUUAUCCCCCUCCACAAUUAUACGUUAUGAAGAAUAUUUGCAAAGCGUUAUCCAAGGUGCCAAAGUUUUACACACAAGUUCUUCAUUUAAUGAAUAAAAUGAACCUACCGUGCCCUUUUGUCGAAAACUAUGUUAUUCAAGAUGAUACAAUGGAUCUGAUUGGAAAUGAGAUUCAGCCUGAAAGCUCAGAAGAAUCUGAACUUGAAAGUGAUGGGGAUGACCAAACCGCCAACACUGUCAACAUACAGAAACCAACCAGUCUUCACAAUAAACCGAAAAUCAAACGGCCGAGGAAGUUGAUCACUCCCGUAAUGCCGAAAAAAUCUAAAUUCGAUCCGAAAAUAACACCGGAUCAAGUUUUUGACAUUGUAAGCAUGUCGAAGAAGAACAUCAAACUGCACAUUCCUGCCAAUAUAUCUUCAGGAAAUGAAAAUGAGAUUGGCAAUGUUGAAAUGAAAGAAGAUGAAAAUAAACUCUCUGAAACGGUUGAAACAGAAGUUACAGAUAUUCACAAAGAAACAGAUUUAAAUAGAGUAAUUACCGAAGAAGAACUAGCAAUCAAUCGUGUUCCAGCUAAAGAUUUCCAUCUUCUGCCUGUUUUUAAAAAUUAUCAACCAGGAUUACCGUCGUCUCGGCUAUACUUGAAAAACCUAGCAAAGACUGUUCAAGAGUCAGAUUUGAAUUUUAUUUUUAAAAGAUACGUUACAGACGAUCAAGAAAUACAAGAAAGCCUGUUUGACAUUAAACUAAUGCAAGAAGGAAGAAUGAAAGGGCAAGCUUUCAUCAUGCUACAAAGCACAGCCUUAGCAGAGAAAGCUUUAAAGGAAACAAACGGUUUUAUGCUUAAAGGAAAGCCUAUCGUAGUGCAAUAUGCAAAAUCACAAAAACCAAAAUGAAUUAUUGAACAGAAGAAAACAAAACAUUGAGAGCGUCUAUAGACACAAUGAUUAUACUAUACUGUAUAAUAAUAUUUUAUUAAAUGGAAAUGAAAAACUUUUAUACAUUAAAUGUAUAAAAAUUGCAUUGCAAAAAUUUGAUCGACUCGGUCAUCCCGGUUUGCACAUUUUUGCUGGAUUUAACUAUACCAGGCACCGGUAAAAGCCAAUAUUAAUGGAAUAGCCAUUCUAACAAACCUAACGGGAAGUUUAUGCAUAUACAAUAUGCUACUUAUAGACCACGGAAGUACAGAAAAAAGGAAAGAACCUGAGUAUGAGCUUUAAGCUUCAGAUUGUUGAAAACAACAAACUGUGAGUGAGAUCCAACUUUAAAAAAGAAAAAAGGCUAGUUUUAUUUAAUCGAGAAUAACUAAUGUCCAAAAUGGUUAUAAUUGUCCUCUAAAGAUUCCACAUCCAGAUGAAUUUUUGGUUUAAAAUUUUUGUUGGCUUUCAAAAAUAAUAUUGCAUGUUUUGAAAUGACCUUGUUGAGGCUGAAACUGAAUACAACCACCUGCUAUUUUUAAUAAAUGAAAUUAUAUUUUCAAGCUGUUUU
RNAcentral lists this unclassified non-coding RNA (1982 nucleotides) under Cimex lectularius (bed bug). Its description in RNAcentral is "rNA-binding protein 40, transcript variant X2". The record is from RNAcentral. Lineage: Eukaryota; Metazoa; Arthropoda; Insecta; Hemiptera; Cimicidae.